Molecule: non-coding RNA, 2764 nt
Organism: Sphingomonas sp. SKA58
Lineage: Bacteria; Pseudomonadati; Pseudomonadota; Alphaproteobacteria; Sphingomonadales; Sphingomonadaceae
Source: Rfam
UCUCAAGCGUGAGGUAAGGGCAUCUGGUGAAUGCCUUGGCAUGUACAGGCGAUGAAGGACGUGGCACGCUGCGAUAAGCGUGGGGGAGCUGUGAGCAAGCUUUGAUCCCGCGAUUUCCGAAUGGGACAACCCACCUUCACCAUUUAAGACUGGUCCAGCUUCUGGCUGGCCCUGUGUUAAAUGAGAGAGGUAUCACUAAGCUGAAUAAAAUAGGCUUUGGUGAAGCGAACCCGGAGAACUGAAACAUCUCAGUACCCGGAGGAAAAGACAUCAACCGAGAUUCCGUUAGUAGUGGCGAGCGAACGCGGACCAGGCCAGCGCCUGAUAUUUAGUUAGCAGAACGAUCUGGAAAGUUCGGCCAUAGCGGGUGACAGCCCCGUAUGUGAAAGCGAAAUAUCAGGACUUGAGUAGGGCGGAGCACGUGAAACUCUGUCUGAACAUGGGGGGACCACCCUCCAAGCCUAAAUACUCGUACAUGACCGAUAGCGAACCAGUACCGUGAGGGAAAGGUGAAAAGCACCCCGAUGAGGGGAGUGAAACAGUACCUGAAACCGGAUGCCUACAAGCAGUGGGAGGGUCCUUGAGACCUGACCGCGUACCUCUUGCAUAAUGGGUCUGUGACUUAGUGUAUCAUGCAAGCUUAAGCCGUUAGGUGUAGGCGCAGCGAAAGCGAGUCUGAAUAGGGCGCCCAUGAGUAUGAUGCAUUAGACCCGAAACCCGGCGAUCUAGGCAUGACCAGGCUGAAGGUGCGGUAACACGCACUGGAGGGCCGAACCGUUUAAUGUUGAAAAAUUAUCGGAUGAGUUGUGUUUAGGGGUGAAAGGCCAAUCAAGCCGGGAAAUAGCUGGUUCUCCGCGAAAUCUAUUGAGGUAGAGCGUCGGAUGAUUGCCGUUGGGGGUAGAGCACUGGAUGGAUGCGGGGGUCGCGAGAUCUACCAAUUCUAACCAAACUCCGAAUACCAACGAGUCUAGUCCGGCAGACAGACGGCGGGUGCUAAGGUCCGUCGUCAAAAGGGAAACAGCCCUAACCUACAGCUAAGGUCCCCAAGUCACGUCUAAGUGGGAAAGCAUGUGGGAUUUCCAAAACAACCAGGAGGUUGGCUUAGAAGCAGCCAUCCUUUAAAGAAAGCGUAACAGCUCACUGGUCUAAAUAAGAGAUCCUGCGGCGAAGAUGUAACGGGGCUCAAGACGUGCACCGAAGCUUAGGGUUCAGUCCUUUGGACUGAGCGGUAGCGGAGCGUUCCGUAGGCCGUUGAAGCGGGAGGGUAACCGACCGUGGAGGUAUCGGAAGUGCGAAUGCAGACAUGAGUAGCGAUUAAGAGGGUGAGAUGCCCUCUCGCCGAAAUUCCAAGGGUUCCUGCUUAAAGCUAAUCUGAGCAGGGUAAGCCGGCCCCUAAGACGAGCCCGAAGGGGGUAGUCGAUGGGAACCACGUUAAUAUUCGUGGGCCUGGUGGUGUGUGACGGAUGGCGUAACUUGUUCGGCCUUAUUGGAUUGGUCCGGGCAGGGAAGUUGUCCCAGGAAAUAGCCCCACCGUAUAGACCGUACCCUAAACCGACACAGGUGGAAUGGUAGAGUAUACCAAGGCGUUUGAGAGAAGUAUCCUGAAGGAACUCGGCAAAUUGCCUCCGUACCUUCGGAAGAAGGAGGCCCCACAUAAGCGCAAGCUCUUGUGGGGGGCACAGGCCAGGGGGUAGCGACUGUUUAGCAAAAACACAGGGCUCUGCUAAGUCGGCUUCAAGACGACGUAUAGGGCCUGACGCCUGCCCGGUGCCUGAAGGUUAAGAGGAGGAGUGCAAGCUCUGAAUUGAAGCCCAGGUAAACGGCGGCCGUAACUAUAACGGUCCUAAGGUAGCGAAAUUCCUUGUCGGGUAAGUUCCGACCUGCACGAAUGGCGUAACGACUUCCCCACUGUCUCCAGGAUAUGCUCAGCGAAAUUGAAUUCUCCGUGAAGAUGCGGAGUACCCGCGGUUAGACGGAAAGACCCCGUGCACCUUUACUGCAGCUUCAGAGUGGCAUUAGGAAAGAACUGUGUAGCAUAGGUGGGAGGCUUUGAAGCGAUGACGCCAGUUGUCGUGGAGCCAUAGGUGAAAUACCACCCUGUUGUUUUCUGAUGUCUAACCUCGCACCGUUAUCCGGUGCAGGGACCCUCUGUGGCGGGUAGUUUGACUGGGGCGGUCGCCUCCUAAAGAGUAACGGAGGCGCGCGAUGGUGGGCUCAGGACGGUUGGAAACCGUCUGUUAGAGUGCAAUGGCAUAAGCCCGCCUGACUGCGAGACUGACAAGUCGAGCAGAGACGAAAGUCGGUCAUAGUGAUCCGGUGGUCCCUCGUGGAAGGGCCAUCGCUCAACGGAUAAAAGGUACGCCGGGGAUAACAGGCUGAUGAUUCCCAAGAGCUCAUAUCGACGGAAUCGUUUGGCACCUCGAUGUCGGCUCAUCACAUCCUGGGGCUGGAGCAGGUCCCAAGGGUUUGGCUGUUCGCCAAUUAAAGUGGUACGUGAGCUGGGUUCAGAACGUCGCGAGACAGUUUGGUCCCUAUCUGCCGUGGGCGUCGAAAUUUGAGAGGAGUUGACCCUAGUACGAGAGGACCGGGUUGAACAUACCUCUGGUGUACCUGUCGUCGUGCCAACGGCGCAGCAGGGUAGCUAUGUAUGGACGGGAUAACCGCUGAAAGCAUCUAAGCGGGAAGCCUCCCUCAAGAUAAGAUUUCAUCGAGCCGUGAUAGACCAUCACGUUGAUAGGCCGGGAUGUGGAAGUGCGGUAACGCA